AUUGAACGCUAGCGGGAUGCUUUACACAUGCAAGUCGAACGGCAGCGCGGACUUCGGUCUGGCGGCGAGUGGCGAACGGGUGAGUAAUGUAUCGGAACGUGCCCAGUAGCGGGGGAUAACUACGCGAAAGCGUAGCUAAUACCGCAUACGCCCUGCGGGGGAAAGCAGGGGAUCGUAAGACCUUGCACUAUUGGAGCGGCCGAUAUCGGAUUAACUAGUUGGUGAGGUAACGGCUCACCAAGGCGACGAUCCGUAGCUGGUUUGAGAGGACGACCAGCCACACUGGGACUGAGACACGGCCCAGACUCCUACGGGAGGCAGCAGUGGGGAAUUUUGGACAAUGGGGGCAACCCUGAUCCAGCCAUCCCGCGUGUGCGAUGAAGGCCUUCGGGUUGUAAAGCACUUUUGGCAGGAAAGAAACGUCGCGGGCUAAUACCCCGUGGAACUGACGGUACCUGCAGAAUAAGCACCGGCUAACUACGUG
Molecule: ribosomal RNA, 484 nt
Filed under: uncultured bacterium
Lineage: Bacteria
Description: partial 16S ribosomal RNA
Rfam family: Bacterial small subunit ribosomal RNA
Source: RNAcentral